This 487-nucleotide ribosomal RNA is filed under the name uncultured organism. Its description in RNAcentral is "bacterial SSU rRNA". It matches the Rfam family "Bacterial small subunit ribosomal RNA", at positions 29 to 507 of the family's 1533-position model. The record is from RNAcentral.
AAUGAACGCUGGCGGCGUGCCUAACACAUGCAAGUCGGAUGUGCCCGUAAGGGUGCAUGGCAGACGGGUGAGUAACGCGUGGGGAAUCUACCUCUUUGUGGGGAAUAACGCUCCGAAAGGAGUGGUAAUACCGCAUGAGACCAAUGGCUGGAAUGUUGUUGGUGAAACCUGGGGACCGCAAGGCCUGGGGCAAGGAGAGGAUCCUGCGUCUGAUUAGCUAGUUGGCGGGGUAAUGGCCCACCAAGGCGACGAUCAGUAGCCGGCCUGAGAGGGUGAUCGGCCACACUGGAACUGAGACACGGUCCAGACUCCUACGGGAGGCAGCAGUGGGGAAUUUUGCGCAAUGGGCGAAAGCCUGACGCAGCAACGCCGCGUGGGUGAUGAAGGUCUUCGGAUCGUAAAACCCUGUCGUCGGGGACGAAGGUUGUAUGCCUAACAGGUGUGCAAUUUGACGGUACCCGGAGAGGAAGCCCCGGCUAACUCUGUG